UUACCUGGCUGGCAGUUGGUACUGGUUUUGCUGGGAACUCUGCUGGAGUUGUUGAUCAGAGGGCCUCUGGUCUCCUUUAUAUGGCCUCUCUGGGAGAUUUGGACUUCUCACAGCAUGGCAUCUGAGUUCCAAGAGGGAGCAUUUCAAAAGGCAAAGGCUGUGUCCACCACCUGGGCAGAAGAAUGAAAGAUGCACAUGUGAUUCAAUUCGUUUCUUUCCAGAAUGGGGGAUAGUAGAGUUUUUGUGGACUCUCCUUUACGGUUUCAAGAGGCCCUUGAUCUGAGGAUGGGAGCUCCAAAGACGCAAAGGAGCUCCACUUCCCUGACUGCCUCCACUGGGGCAAAAGUGACAUUCAUCAGCUCCACGUGGAACUUUCCCAUGAAGCAAAUGAAUGGAGCAUGCCUUGGUCUCACCUCCAGACCAAGAAGAUUUAUAUUUGAACUUGCUACCCAGAUUUUGAAAUGAAUACUGGAGCCAGGAGGGUAUCAUGUUAAAUUCAUUGGCAGAACCAUGAGAAACUAUCACACACUUUUGCCCAUUUACAUUAAGUCCAAAUCAUCCAUCCCCAUACAAUUUUUCUCUGCUGUCCCUAUAGGAUUAAUAUAAAUCAUGGGAGAUAAUUUGCAGAGAAAGCUAUUUAAAAUUGCGGCAGAGCAGUUCAUUUGUUGCGAUAAUUCAC
Molecule: long non-coding RNA, 679 nt
Filed under: Equus caballus (horse)
Lineage: Eukaryota; Metazoa; Chordata; Mammalia; Perissodactyla; Equidae
Description: lncRNA (ENSECAG00000041733.2)
Source: RNAcentral